RNAcentral lists this ribosomal RNA (253 nucleotides) under uncultured bacterium. RNAcentral describes it as "partial 16S ribosomal RNA". It matches the Rfam family "Bacterial small subunit ribosomal RNA", at positions 524 to 776 of the family's 1533-position model. The record is from RNAcentral.
UACGUAGGGGGCAAGCGUUGUCCGGAUUUAUUGGGCGUAAAGAGCGUGUAGGCGGCUUUACAGGUCCGUUGUGAAAACUCGAGGCUCAACCUCGAGACGCCGAUGGAAACCCCCGAACUAGAGUCCGGAAGAGGAGAGUGGAAUUCCUGGUGUAGCGGUGAAAUGCGCAGAUAUCAGGAAGAACACCCGUGGCUAAGGCGGCUCUCUAGUACGGUACUGACGCUGAGACGCGAAAGCGUGGGGAGCGAACAGG